Molecule: ribosomal RNA, 497 nt
Filed under: uncultured bacterium
Lineage: Bacteria
Description: partial 16S ribosomal RNA
Rfam family: Bacterial small subunit ribosomal RNA
Source: RNAcentral
GAUGAACGCUGGCGGCGUGCCUAAUACAUGCAAGUCGAGCGAACAGACGAGGAGUUUGCUCCUCUGACGUUAGCGGCGGACGGGUGAGUAACACGGGGAUAACCUACCUAUAAGACUGGGAUAACUUCGGGAAACCGGAGCUAAUACCGGAAAAUAUAUUGAACCGCAUGGUUCAAUAGUGAAAGACGGUUUUGCUGUCACUUAUAGAUGGAUCCGCGCCGCAUUCGCUAGUUGGUAAGGUAACGGCUUACCAAGGCAACGAUGCGUAGCCGCCCUGAGAGGGUGAUCGGCCACACUGGAACUGAGACACGGUCCAGACUCCUACGGGAGGCAGCAGUAGGGAAUCUUCCGCAAUGGGCGAAAGCCUGACGGAGCAACGCCGCGUGAGUGAUGAAGGUCUUCGGAUCGUAAAACUCUGUUAUUAGGGAAGAACAAAUGUGUAAGUAACUAUGCACGUCUUGACGGUACCUAAUCAGAAAGCCACGGCUAACUACGUG